UACGGAGGGUGCGAGCGUUGUCCGGAAUCACUGGGCGUAAAGGGCGCGUAGGUGGCCCGUCAAGCGCGCGGUGAAAGCCCGGGGCUCAACCCCGGGUCGGCCGUGGCAACUACUGGGCUGGAGCACUGUAGGGGCGGGUGGAAUUCCGGGUGUAGCGGUGGAAUGCGUAGAGAUCCGGAAGAACACCGGUGGCGAAGGCGGCCCGCUGGGCAGUUGCUGACACUGAGGCGCGACAGCGUGGGGAGCAAACAGG
RNAcentral lists this ribosomal RNA (253 nucleotides) under uncultured bacterium. RNAcentral's name for it is "partial 16S ribosomal RNA". It matches the Rfam family "Bacterial small subunit ribosomal RNA", at positions 524 to 776 of the family's 1533-position model. The record is from RNAcentral.